UUCACAAGUCACUGUGAAGCACAAAAAUAAGUUGCAACUGAUUUAGCAAUUUUUUAAAACCAAAGGUGCUUGAGAAGACAUGUUUCUUAAGAAAACAAAUUUUUAAUUUAAUUUAAUAUUAAUUGGGAGAAAAGUAUUUUCCUGCAAAUUGUGCAUAAACAUUGCACAUGUGUUUCAGGAGAAAAUUAUCAUUGUCGUGUCACUGUUGGCUUAUUUCAUCAUGAAUUAUAAUUUCAAUCCCAUUCAGUACUAAGAACAUUUUCGUUUGUGAAUUUUAAAAAAAUCGGAUCUUUAUUGCAUAUUUAUUCUUUAAGGACAAACGUAUAAUAAAAUUGAUGUAAACCUAAAUUUGUUGGGUAGACUUAAUUAAUUAGAUUAGAGUAAUAGAAAAUUUUCUCAGGCUGACAAGUGGACGUGAAAUUAAUGCAAGCAAUUUAAUAAUUAUGACGAAGUCCUGUAUUUACAGAUGUCAUACAAAUUUGUGGUAAACGAUAUUUAACGGACGGCGUCAGGCAGGUUAUUCGCGAUAUAAACAGAGAGACGGAACGGGAUAAAGGUAUAAAUGUCGUUACACGGAAAUCAUUUUAUUAUGUCCACAUAUGUAAACAUUGUUUAAUUUUCGUAAGCAAAACCAUGGUUAAGGAUUCAAACAAACAGACUACCAAAAGUUGGGCCAAAUUAUUCCAAAUCUCCUUUCUCAUAUUUCGUAAUACUGGAAAGCUGCAGAGCUGGAGUUAGGUUACCUGAAUAUAUGACGAAGCACAUCCACCCGUGUGAUAAACAGAUUUGGGAAUACGAUGAUGAGGAUGAACAAGACGAAGAUCAAGAGAUAAAUCCCCAUUACCAACCGGCGAUGCUGACAUACUUAAUUGAACACGUGUUUUUACUACAACCAAUGUUUGACCAUUCAGUAAUGGUCUUAAAUGGAUUGUCAGGUCGGUUGAAAUAAUUUCCUAUACCUAAUGUGCGAAAUAAUUGUACAUUUUAUAUCGUGUAGUGGAAGAGGAUACAAACUCGGUUGUGGAAAAUUGGAACAAAAUCAUCAAGAAAGAUGAACAUGCCAAUCGACCUAUAAAAAUCUCGCGUUUCAUACAUGAACAGGCGAAAGUAAUUAAUGGUGUUAUUAAAAUUAUUACCAAGUUAUACUAAAUUUUUUCAACACCCCUUAGCGAAUUACAUAUGUUGUACAUAUGUGUAUUACAUUUAGACCGGAUUACCCAAUUCGACUUUCUCCUUGCGAAACAUGAAACAGCCAAGCAAGGAGGAAUGAACAAAGACAAAGCUUCAUCUCAACGGGACAACAACCAGACAACGCGGAAGGGGAACAAACAAACAGCAAGAAAGAGUACAGGUAAAUCAGAAAGCGGAUGGAAAUAUUAAAAAUCUCCUUCGCAUAUUUGCAAAAUCAUGUGCAAAAUUAAUUUAUGGGCGUCCCAACAAAUUCAAACAAAACCCGGAAGCAAGGGGGCGGUAAAUUACCCAAUACUGAACCUGAACGCGGACACGAAAAUUGAAGGCCACGUAGUCCUCCUAAUAUCUCUACUGGUUUCACUGUUCUGCAUGGACUACCAAGAAUUCGUUAUGGUGGUAGCAUUGAAAUUAACAACAACAGUUACGCAAUGGUUAACACUUGUAACAUCGAUAACGUUUUGCGGAUACUUUUUGUCAUGCAUUCUAUCGACCGUCGAGUCAGAAGUCAUAUCAAGAGAUUUAAUGUUUUGGAAACCCCCAAAGGAAUACACUUAAUGAGAAUUUUGUCACAUAUCGAGAAGGAAGAAUUCAAAGAAGCAAGGAAAAUAACUUUGGUAAACUUAAUGGAAUUAAACUUAUCAAGUUUGCAGAAUGGAGACUUGUUUAAUUCAGAAGAAAAAUUCCUCGAAUCAAUACACUUUUUGGUGGAAUUCGAACAAACAUAUAUGUGUCCUAACAAUUGCCACUUGAGCCGAACUGUUGUAGCUAGUCCAAUGGAUCUUUCCAUUAGGUCUCCUAACCUGUUUGCACUGAUGUUAACCACAGAGAAAGAGUCUGGGUGCGACAAUUGCAGUAACCCUGAUCGACGGGAAGAUGGCCCAAUGGCAAAGACGACAUUUUCCUGGUCUGAUUCUGGACCUCCUCCCUUCCUCUGCUAUGCGGUGGCAUAUGGGGGAAAUGAUUACCCUCCAACUGAAUUCGAAGUCCCACUUGCAGAAAUCAUUCUUGGUGUAAAAUACAAAUUAUUUUCAUAUACAGUAUGAUACAAUAGUCAUUAUACGGCUGUCUUCUGUUAUAAACGUAAGUUCUAUAAUUAUGACGGACUAAAGCCAGAGAAACUGAUUAAUUAUCGAUUGGGAGACGCUCCGGAAGGUCACCGAAUCAGUACCGUGUGGAUGAUUAGGGACUGAUUGCUUUCAUCAAUUCGAAAUAGUAUUCAAGACUUCGGACUUUUACGCAUGAAGUUUUUAAGAAGACAACUGACGAUUGGGAUUGUGUAAAUAUAAUAGUGUAAUAACAGUAGAAGAAGUAAUUGAAUAAAUGUACAGAAAAGUAGCCUCUAAUAAUUAAUAAUAGAAUAAUCCUAAAAUAAAUAUACAUUGAUGUGUCACGAUAA
This is a long non-coding RNA of Folsomia candida, 2587 nucleotides long. RefSeq lists it as uncharacterized. NCBI's taxonomy places the organism in Eukaryota, Metazoa, Arthropoda, Collembola, Entomobryomorpha, Isotomidae. The transcript has 2 exons. The record is from RefSeq and is a predicted model, not a curated record.